AAUAAAGGAGUUUCUCCUCUCUUGAAGACACUCCAAAUUCAAGAGCUUUUCACUCUUAUCUGUCUUUCUCCUCCUUUAUUUAUUAAGAGUAUUUUAUAAGAGAGGUUAGUGUUGGGAAACACUUGUGUGAACCCUUUCUUUGGAGUGAUCUUGUGAGGUUAUUCUCUUGGGGUAUUUGGGACUAAUUAGAGUAUUUACUCUAAUUUUGUAGUCUCUUUUGUACUCUUGUUUGUAUAGUGGAAUUGCUUCUCUCCAUUUGUGGACGUAGGUCUCCUUGACCAAACUACGUUAAACUAAUUGGAGUAUUUACUCUAAUUUUGUACUCUUAGUGGUAUAGUGAAAUUGAUUCACUCCGCUUGUGGACGUAGGUAUCCUUGACCGAUCCACGUUAAAUUUGUGCAUUCUUUAUCUGCUUCAAUUACAAUUAUUAUCAACUUGUAUUGUAUUUUUUUAUUGUCAUUAUUAACAUUGUUUGGAUAAAUUUUUUAUUAUACGGGUUCCCGAUUCUAACAAAUUGGUAUUAGAGCCAGAUCUAACCGGGUUAAUUUAAAUAGCCAAAAUGACUCUAACAAUGACAUAUGUUGAGAAAUUUGACUGAAGUGCAAACUUCAGAAUAUGACAAUUAAAGAUGGAACGUAUCCUAAUUCAGGACGGCUUAGAUUUGGCACUAUAAGGAAAGGAGAAGAAGCCAGAAACAAUGACGGACGAGGAGUUUGCCGUCAUUGGCAAAAAGGCAAAAGCAGGUAUCAUUUUAAAUCUCUCAAAUGAGGUUUGCGUGAAGUUACUGCAGAAAGCUCAUCCAAAGGCAUAUGGGAAAAGCUAAAAACCCUGUAUAUGAAAAGGACACUAGAAAACAGGCUUUACCUAAAGCAAAAACUUUACACUUUUUGUAUGGAUGAAUGUACCUCUAUACCUACACAUAUUGAUACUUUUGAUUCUCUUCUUAUGGAUUUAAGUACCAUAGAUGCUGAAAUCAAAGAUGAAGAUCAAGUCGUAUUAUUACUUGUUUCUUGACCCCAGUCGUUUAAGCAUAUAAGAGAUACUAUACUUUAUGGAAAUGAUAAUAUCUCUUAUAAAUAUAUCAAAUCUAUUUUGAAAUCAAAAUAACAAAUAGAUAUAGAUAUUACUGGGGAAACUAGUGGGAACCAAGGGGAAGGCUUAUUUGUAAGAGGUAGAUCUAAUAAGAAAGAUUCAAGUAGUGGGAGACCUAAAUCAAGGUCAAAAUCCAGAUACAGAAACGUCAUGUGCAAAUACUGUCAUAAGAAAGGCCACAUUAUUUCUAAAUGCUUUAAGUUGAAAAAUAAAGAAAAGCAUACAUAAAAGAAAAAUGAACACAAAAUUACUAAUGUUGCCGAAGCAAGUGUAGCUGCUAAUGAGAUUGAUGGAACUACUUUUUUAGUAACUAAUAAUAGUUUCAAAUCUAACAAUGACUGGAUUUUAGAUUCGGGCUGUUCUUAUCAUAUGUGUCCCGAUCGGGAUUUAUUUACCACAUAUGAAUCUACUAGAGGUGGAGUUGUCUUGAUGGGCAACAAUACUACCUGCAAAGUUAUUGGAAAAGGCAUAAUCCGAAUCAAAAUGCAUGAUGGUGUGGUGAGAACUCUCACCGAUGUUAGACAUGUUCCCGACUUGAAGAAAAAUCUCAUCUCUUUGGGCACUGUAGAAUCUCUUGGGUGCAAGUACACAUGUGA
Molecule: long non-coding RNA, 1688 nt
Filed under: Nicotiana benthamiana
Lineage: Eukaryota; Viridiplantae; Streptophyta; Magnoliopsida; Solanales; Solanaceae
Description: long non-coding RNA (NBEN_LNC016395)
Source: RNAcentral